UACGUAGGGGCUAGCGUUAUCCGGAAUUACUGGGCAUAAAGGGUGCGUAGGUGGUUUCUUAAGUCAGAGGUGAAAGGCUACGGCUCAACCGUAGUAGGCCUUUGAAACUGGGAAACUUGAGUGCAGGAGAGGAGAGUGGAAUUCCUAGUGUAGCGGUGAAAUGCGUAGAUAUUAGGAGGAACACCAGUUGCGAAGGCGGCUCUCUGGACUGUAACUGACACUGAGGCACGAAAGCGUGGGGAGCAAACAGGAUUAGAUACCCUGGUAGUCCCUGA
Molecule: ribosomal RNA, 275 nt
Filed under: uncultured prokaryote
Description: partial 16S ribosomal RNA
Rfam family: Bacterial small subunit ribosomal RNA
Source: RNAcentral